GACGAACGCUGGCGGCGUGCUUAACACAUGCAAGUCGAACGGUGAAGCGCCUUCCUUUUUGGUGGGUGUGGAUGAGUGGCGAACGGGUGAGUAACACGUGAGUAACCUGCCCCCUUCUUCUGGAUAACCGCAUGAAAGUGUGGCUAAUACGGGAUAUUCUGGGUCUGUCGCAUGAUGGGUCUGGGAAAGAUAUUGUUUCGGUGGGGGAUGGGCUCGCGGCCUAUCAGCUUGUUGGUGGGGUGAUGGCCUACCAAGGCGGUUACGGGUAGCCGGCCUGAGAGGGUGGACGGUCACACUGGGACUGAGACACGGCCCAGACUCCUACGGGAGGCAGCAGUGGGGAAUAUUGCACAAUGGGCGCAAGCCUGAUGCAGCGACGCCGCGUGAGGGAUGGAGGCCUUCGGGUUGUGAACCUCUUUCGCCAGUGAAGCAGGCCUGCCUCGUUUGUGGGUGGGUUGACGGUAGCUGGAUAAGAAGCGCCGGCUAACUACGUG
This 494-nucleotide ribosomal RNA is filed under the name uncultured bacterium. RNAcentral's name for it is "partial 16S ribosomal RNA". It matches the Rfam family "Bacterial small subunit ribosomal RNA", at positions 28 to 507 of the family's 1533-position model. The record is from RNAcentral.